UACACUGAAGGGCUCAGCGUGUGUUGUUUUCCCUUGUCCGAGAGGACCGGGUAACCCGCUGAACCCCCUUCGUGGUAGGGAUCGGGGCUUGCAAUUAUUCCCCGUGAACCAGGAAUUCCCAGUAAGCGCAAGUCAUAAGCUUGCGUUGAUUACGUCCCUGCCCUUUGUACACACCGCAA
Molecule: ribosomal RNA, 179 nt
Filed under: uncultured aquatic eukaryote
Lineage: Eukaryota
Description: partial small subunit ribosomal RNA
Rfam family: Eukaryotic small subunit ribosomal RNA
Source: RNAcentral